Molecule: transfer RNA, 72 nt
Filed under: Volvocales sp. NrCl902
Lineage: Eukaryota; Viridiplantae; Chlorophyta; Chlorophyceae; Chlamydomonadales
Description: tRNA-Phe
Rfam family: tRNA
About the family: Transfer RNA (tRNA) molecules are approximately 80 nucleotides in length. Their secondary structure includes four short double-helical elements and three loops (D, anti-codon, and T loops).
Source: RNAcentral
GCCAGGGUAGCUCAGUGGUAGAGCAGUGGACUGAAAAUCCAUGUGUCACCGGUUCAAAUCUGGUUCUUGGCA